This 490-nucleotide ribosomal RNA is filed under the name uncultured bacterium. RNAcentral's name for it is "partial 16S ribosomal RNA". It matches the Rfam family "Bacterial small subunit ribosomal RNA", at positions 28 to 507 of the family's 1533-position model. The record is from RNAcentral.
GAUGAACGCUAGCGAUAGGCUUAACACAUGCAAGUCGAGGGGCAGCAUGGUCUUAGCUUGCUAAGGCUGAUGGCGACCGGCGCACGGGUGCGUAACGCGUAUGCAACUUGCCUCACAGAGGGGGAUAACCCGUCGAAAGACGGACUAAUACCGCGUACACUCUAUGUUGGGCAUCCAAUGUAGAGGAAAUGAAAUUCGCUGUGAGAUAGGCAUGCGUCCCAUUAGCUAGUUGGUGAGGUAACGGCUCACCAAGGCGACGAUGGGUAGGGGAACUGAGAGGUUGAACCCCCACACUGGUACUGAGACACGGACCAGACUCCUACGGGAGGCAGCAGUGAGGAAUAUUGGGCAAUGGGCGAGAGCCUGAACCAGCCAAGUCGCGUGAAGGAUGACUGUCUUAUGGAUUGUAAACUUCUUUUAUACGGGAAUAACAAGAGUCACGUGUGGCUCCCUGCAUGUACCGGAUGAAUAAGCAUCGGCUAACUCCGUG